Bdellovibrionales bacterium is the source of this 73-nucleotide non-coding RNA. NCBI's taxonomy places the organism in Bacteria, Pseudomonadati, Bdellovibrionota, Bdellovibrionia, Bdellovibrionales. The record is from Rfam.
GGGCGUUUAGCUCAGCUGGGAGAGCGCUACCCUUACAAGGUAGAUGUCAGAGGUUCGAUCCCUCUAACGCCCA